This 311-nucleotide ribosomal RNA is filed under the name uncultured eukaryote. Its description in RNAcentral is "partial 18S ribosomal RNA". It matches the Rfam family "Eukaryotic small subunit ribosomal RNA", at positions 1470 to 1796 of the family's 1831-position model. The record is from RNAcentral.
CCCUUAGAUGUUCGGGGCCGCACGCGCGCUACACUGAAUGAAUCAGCGAGUGUAUGUCCUAGGCCGAAAGGUCCGGGUAACCCGUUGAACCUCAUUCGUGAUUGGGAUAGGGACUUGCAAUUGUUUCCCUUGAACGAGGAAUUCCCAGUAAGCGCAAGUCAUCAGCUUGCGUUGAUUACGUCCCUGCCCUUUGUACACACCGCCCGUCGCUACUACCGAUUGAAUGGUUUAGUGAGGCCUUCGGAUCCGCGACUCGUUUUGUGGAGAAGUUGGACAAACUCAGUCAUUUAGAGGAAGUAAAAGUCGUAACA